GAUGAACGCUAGCUACAGGCUUAACACAUGCAAGCCGAGGGGUAACGAGAGGAAAGCUUGCUUUCCUUGUCGACGACCGGCGCACGGGUGAGUAACGCGUAUCCAACCUGCCCCCAACUAGGGAAUAACCUUGCGAAAGUAAGACUAAUACCCUAUAAUUUCCUCAGAUGUCAUCUGACGAGGAAUAAAGAUUUAUCGGUUGUGGAUGGGGAUGCGUCUGAUUAGCUUGUUGGCGGGGUAACGGCCCACCAAGGCAACGAUCAGUAGGGGUUCUGAGAGGAAGGUCCCCCACAUUGGAACUGAGACACGGUCCAAACUCCUACGGGAGGCAGCGGUGAGGAAUAUUGGUCAAUGGGCGGAAGCCUGAACCAGCCAAGUAGCGUGCAGGAUGACGGCCCUAUGGGUUGUAAACUGCUUUUAUACAGGAAUAAAGUUAGCCACGUGUGGUUAUUUGUAGGUACUGUAUGAAUAAGGACCGGCUAAUUCCGUGCCAGCCGCCGCAGUAA
RNAcentral lists this ribosomal RNA (506 nucleotides) under uncultured bacterium. RNAcentral describes it as "partial 16S ribosomal RNA". It matches the Rfam family "Bacterial small subunit ribosomal RNA", at positions 28 to 523 of the family's 1533-position model. The record is from RNAcentral.